RNAcentral lists this long non-coding RNA (266 nucleotides) under Volvox carteri. RNAcentral's name for it is "long non-coding RNA (VCAR_LNC001245)". Lineage: Eukaryota; Viridiplantae; Chlorophyta; Chlorophyceae; Chlamydomonadales; Volvocaceae. The record is from RNAcentral.
CUCGUACAGCAUAAUGCCCAGGUUGCAGCUCGCCAGCGCGGUGCCGUACUGGUCCCCUCCUCGCGCCAUUUGCAGGUACUCCUGCAGACACCUCACCGCGGCCUCCGGAUCCCCCAUGUCGCCAAGACAGGACGAGAAGGCGGCAUAUGCCGUACCCAUGGCGGACCGGUCCUUGUCCUUGUCGGGCAUGUGGGCCGCGAGCUCCAGAAACUGGCGCAGGUAGUGCACUGCUUCCAGGUGCUUCUUCUGCUCGUGGAACAACAUGC